Molecule: long non-coding RNA, 445 nt
Filed under: Elaeis guineensis (African oil palm)
Lineage: Eukaryota; Viridiplantae; Streptophyta; Magnoliopsida; Arecales; Arecaceae
Description: long non-coding RNA (EGUI_LNC022712)
Source: RNAcentral
AACCAAAUAUUUCCCAAAUUUUGAGACUGUCCACUUCUUGGAUUGCCAACUUCCUCUUCGCUAAAAUCCAUGGUCUUGCUUUAAAAAGUAUUCGUUUGAACAAUGACGAAUCGCCCCCAUCUGUUGACAGCCACCCAAUUCAAAUCUCAUAGCGUCACGCUCUCUCAACUCUUCCAUUCUGUAAACAUCUGUAAUGCAGGAUUAAUUUUAAUCUCACCACAAGAAAAUCAAUACCAUUGUUAAUCUUUAGCAGCUCUGGCUAAAUUGAUGGGAGGAUGGCAGUAGCAUUAAGCUACCUUUAUUCAGGAGAAAAAACCUUGGACCGCACGCAGAAAGAAGGCUAUUUGGAUAGAAGAAAACAUGGUGUGAGGUGGGAAUAAAAUGUUUGGGAUUGCUUCUGGAUGUUCUGAAGCGAGGGAAAACCAAAGUGUGGAUUGGAGAGGAG